Molecule: ribosomal RNA, 307 nt
Filed under: uncultured bacterium
Lineage: Bacteria
Description: bacterial SSU rRNA
Rfam family: Bacterial small subunit ribosomal RNA
Source: RNAcentral
AAUCAACGCUGGCGGCGUGCCUCAGACAUGCAAGUCGAACGAGAAGGCUCCUUCGGGAGCCGGAAAGUGGCGCACGGGUGAGUAACACGUGGGUAAUUUACCUUCGGGUGGGGAACGAACAGCCGGAAACGGCUGCUAAUACCGCAUAACGUAGCGGCACCUAAUGGUGACAGUUGUUAAAGCGGGGGAUCGCAAGACCUCGCGCCUGAAGAGAAGCCUGCGGCAGAUUAGGUAGUUGGGAGGUAAUGGCUCACCAAGCCCGCGAUCUGUAGCCGGCCUGAGAGGGCGGUCGGCCACACUGACACUG